This 253-nucleotide ribosomal RNA is filed under the name uncultured bacterium. Its description in RNAcentral is "partial 16S ribosomal RNA". It matches the Rfam family "Bacterial small subunit ribosomal RNA", at positions 524 to 776 of the family's 1533-position model. The record is from RNAcentral.
UACGGAGGGUGCAAGCGUUGUCCGGAAUCACUGGGCGUAAAGGGCGCGUAGGCGGCUCAUGAAGGCUGUGGUGAAAGUCCGGGGCUCAACCUCGGAUCGGCCGUGGCGACUCGUGGGCUGGAGCACUGUAGAGGCGGGUGGAAUUCCGGGUGUAGAGGUGAAAUUCGUAGAUAUUCGGAAGAACACCAGUGGCGAAGGCGACUCACUGGACACGUAUUGACGCUGAGGUGCGAAAGCGUGGGGAGCAAACAGG